This 27-nucleotide non-coding RNA is filed under the name Rattus norvegicus (Norway rat). Lineage: Eukaryota; Metazoa; Chordata; Mammalia; Rodentia; Muridae. The record is from RNAcentral.
UCCCAGAACGGUAUGAACAGCUCUGGU